This 223-nucleotide long non-coding RNA is filed under the name Gallus gallus (chicken). The record is from RNAcentral. Lineage: Eukaryota; Metazoa; Chordata; Aves; Galliformes; Phasianidae.
CUUCAGUCCAUCCAGCCGCACCGAGUUCUUCUGGCUGGUGACAGUGUUGGCAAUGCCGUCACCCUGGCCUUGCUUCUCGGAGUACUUGAUUUCAUAGUCGAGAAUGAUGCCGUUGGGCCUUUCCGGGGGAGUCCAUGACAGUGUCAUGCUGUUCCCGGUGCUGCUGUGCAGAUGCAUGGUGGGCACGGCAGAUGGGGCUGCCUGGUUGGUCGUGAUGUUGACG